Molecule: ribosomal RNA, 201 nt
Filed under: uncultured bacterium
Lineage: Bacteria
Description: partial 16S ribosomal RNA
Rfam family: Bacterial small subunit ribosomal RNA
Source: RNAcentral
ACGCUCGACACCUACGGAGGCAGCAGUGGGGAAUAUUGCACAAUGGGGGAAACCCUGAUGCAGCGACGCCGCGUGGAGGAAGAAGGUCUUCGGAUUGUAAACUCCUGUUGUUGGGGAAAAAGAGGAUGGUACCCAACAAGGAAGUGACGGCUAACUACGUGCCAGCAGCUGUAGUAUCUGAGGCGGGUCGUGGACGAAGGC